Molecule: ribosomal RNA, 450 nt
Filed under: uncultured bacterium
Lineage: Bacteria
Description: partial 16S ribosomal RNA
Rfam family: Bacterial small subunit ribosomal RNA
Source: RNAcentral
UGCCAGACUCCUACGGGAGGCAGCAGUGGGGAAUAUUGCACAAUGGGGGAAACCCUGAUGCAGCAACGCCGCGUGAAGGAAGACGGUUUUCGGAUUGUAAACUUCUAUCAAUAGGGAAGAAAGAAAUGACGGUACCUAAAUAAGAAGCCCCGGCUAACUACGUGCCAGCAGCCGCGGUAAUACGUAGGGGGCAAGCGUUAUCCGGAUUUACUGGGCGUAAAGGGAGCGCAGGCGGCGCGCCAAGUCUGAUGUGAAACCCCGGGGCUCAACCCCGGGCAUGCAUUGGAAACUGGCGGGCUGGAGUGCCGGAGGGGCAGGCGGAAUUCCUGGUGUAGCGGUGAAAUGCGUAGAUAUCAGGAGGAACACCGGUGGCGAAGGCGGCCUGCUGGACUGCGACUGACGUUGAGGCCCGAAAGCGUGGGGAGCAAACAGGAUUAGAUACCCCGGUAA